Molecule: ribosomal RNA, 258 nt
Filed under: uncultured archaeon
Lineage: Archaea
Description: partial 16S ribosomal RNA
Rfam family: Archaeal small subunit ribosomal RNA
Source: RNAcentral
CAGCCGUAAACUAUGCUCGCUAGGUGUCAGGCAUGGCGCGACCGUGUCUGGUGCCGCAGGGAAGCCGUGAAGCGAGCCACCUGGGAAGUACGGCCGCAAGGCUGAACUUAAGGAUUGGCGGGGGAGCACAACAACGGGUGGAGCCUGCGGUUUAAUUGGACUCAACGCCGGACAACUCACCGGGGACGACAGCAAUAUGUAGACCAGGCUGAAGACCUUGCCUGAAUCGCUGAGAGGUGGUGCAUGGCGUAGACGUCU